AAAAAGCUCGUAGUCGGAUUUUGGCUGAGAACGGUCGGUCCGCCGUUAGGUGUGCACUGACUGGUCUCAGCUUCCUGGUGAGGAGGUGUGCUUCAUCGCCACUUAGUCACCGUGGUUACUUUGAAAAAAUUAGAGUGUUCAAAGCGGGCUUACGCUUGAAUAUAUUAGCAUGGAAUAACACCAUAGGACUCCUGUCCUAUUUCGUUGGUCUCGGGACGGGAGUAAUGAUUAAGAGGAACAGUUGGGGGCAUUCGUAUUUCAUUGUCAGAGGUGAAAUUCUUGGAUUAUGAAAGACGAACUUCUGCGAAAGCAUUUGCCAAGGAUGUUUUCAUUGAUCAAGAACGAAAGUUGGGGGCUCGAAGAUGAUUAGAUACCAUCCUAGUCUCAACCAUAAACGAUGCCGACUAGGGAUUGGCGGAUGUUAAUUGAUGACUUCGCCAGCACCUUAUGAGAAAUCAAAGUUUUUGGGUUCCGGGGGGAGUAUGGUCGCAAGGCUGAAACUUAAAGGAAUUGACGGAAGGGCGCCACCAGGCGUGGAGCCUGCGGCUUAAUUUGACUC
Molecule: ribosomal RNA, 559 nt
Filed under: uncultured marine eukaryote
Lineage: Eukaryota
Description: SSU rRNA
Rfam family: Eukaryotic small subunit ribosomal RNA
Source: RNAcentral